RNAcentral lists this transfer RNA (82 nucleotides) under Armatimonadota bacterium. RNAcentral describes it as "Armatimonadetes bacterium (marine sediment metagenome) tRNA-Leu". RNAcentral also lists the same sequence under 1 other name. Lineage: Bacteria; Bacillati; Armatimonadota. The record is from RNAcentral.
GCCGAAGUGGUGGAACAUGGUAGACACGCCGGAUUUAGGUUCCGGUGCCUUGUGCGUGGGCGUUCGAGUCGCCCCUUCGGCA